UUCCAGCACUUGAAGAU
This 17-nucleotide unclassified non-coding RNA is filed under the name Mus musculus (house mouse). RNAcentral describes it as "oocyte_clustered_small_RNA10095". The record is from RNAcentral. Lineage: Eukaryota; Metazoa; Chordata; Mammalia; Rodentia; Muridae.